GAUUUUGUUGAUCUAAAUAAUGGCAAAUUCUAUGUGGGUGUUUGUGCCUUUGUGAAAGUUCAACUUAAAGAUGGGGCUUACCAUGAAGAUGUUGGCUACGGAGUAAGUGAAGGCUUGAAAUCUAAGGCCUUGUCCCUUGAAAAAGCAAGGAAAGAGGCUGUCACAGAUGGUUUGAAGAGGGCACUGAAGUGCUUUGGUAAUGCUCUUGGGAACUGUAUUUUGGAUAAAGACUACUUGCGCUCAGUGAAUAAGCUCCCCCGUCAG
Non-coding RNA from Notechis scutatus (mainland tiger snake), 264 nucleotides. Lineage: Eukaryota; Metazoa; Chordata; Lepidosauria; Squamata; Elapidae. The record is from RefSeq and is a predicted model, not a curated record.